ACUCUUGGCCAGCCUUCUGAAAGGAAGAUUAAUCCAGGAUGGGAUCAUGAGUUCACAUGUCCGCAUGAUUAAAGGUAUUUUCCGGUAGACGAUGGGGAUGCGUUCCAUUAGAUAGUAGGCGGGGUAACGGCCCACCUAGUCAACGAUGGAUAGGGGUUCUGAGAGGAAGGUCCCCCACAUUGGUACUGAGACACGGUCCAAACUCCUACGGGAGGCAGCAGUGAGGAAUAUUGGUCAAUGGGCGAUGGCCUGAACCAGCCAAGUAGCGUGAAGGAUGACUGCCCUAUGGGUUGUAAACUUCUUUUAUAAAGGAAUAAAGUCGGGUAUGCAUACCCGUUUGCAUGUACUUUAUGAAUAAGGAUCGGCUAACUCCGUGCCAGCAGCCGCGGUAAUACGGAGGAUCCGAGCGUUAUCCGGAUUUAUUGGGUUUAAAGGGAGCGUAGAUGGAUGUUUAAGUCAGUUGUGAAAGUUUGCGGCUCAACCGUAAAAUUGCAGUUGAUACUGGAUGUCUUGAGUGCAGUUGAGGCAGGCGGAAUUCGUGGUGUAGCGGUGAAAUGCUUAGAUAUCACGAAGAACUCCGAUUGCGAAGGCAGCCUGCUAAGCUGCAACUGACAUUGAGGCUCGAAAGUGUGGGUAUCAAACAGGAUUAGAUACCCUGGUAGUCCACACGGUAAACGA
RNAcentral lists this ribosomal RNA (678 nucleotides) under uncultured bacterium. RNAcentral's name for it is "bacterial SSU rRNA". It matches the Rfam family "Bacterial small subunit ribosomal RNA", at positions 135 to 809 of the family's 1533-position model. The record is from RNAcentral.